This is an RNA transcript of Polypterus senegalus (gray bichir), 3368 nucleotides long. It is a transcript of the gene named cAMP responsive element binding protein 1b, with no coding region annotated. NCBI's taxonomy places the organism in Eukaryota, Metazoa, Chordata, Cladistia, Polypteriformes, Polypteridae. The transcript is spliced from 10 exons. The record is from RefSeq and is a predicted model, not a curated record.
CGUCUGCAGCUUCGGCUCCACUCGAUUGGUGUGCUGCUGAGCUAAUUUUCGUCUCCCUCGUUCUCCGUGUUGUUGUUCACGGUGACGCGGCGGAGGUGUAGCCUGACGCGGUCUCUUACGUGUCGGCCUGAAUAAAAGUGGAGCUCCGGGGGCCCGGGAGUGACGGAGGGAGCCUGUACCGUUUUUGGGCAACUAAAUGACAAUGGAAUCGGGUGCAGAGACUCAGCAGGGCAGUGAAGCAGCUGUCUCUGAAACCGAAAACCAGCAAAUAGUACAAGCACAGCCACAGAUUGCAGCUCUGGCCCAGGUUUCCAUGGCAGCAGGAGCUCAUGCAACAUCGACCGCCCCUACAGUGACUCUUGUUCAGCUCCCAAAUGGACAGACUGUGCAAGUUCAUGGAGUCAUACAGGCAGCACAGCCCUCGGUUAUUCAGUCUCCCCAAGUCCAAACGGUACAGAUUUCCACAAUCGCAGAGAGUGAAGAUUCUCAAGAGUCUGUGGACAGUGUGACAGACUCACAAAAGCGUAGGGAAAUCCUCUCAAGGCGACCGUCAUACAGAAAAAUUUUAAAUGACCUUUCUUCUGAUGCUCCUGGUGUUCCUCGUAUUGAGGAAGAGAAAUCUGAAGAAGACUCAUCCACUCCGGCCAUAACCACAGUCACAGUGCCAACUCCAAUCUAUCAGACCAGCAGUGGACAAUAUAUUGCCAUUACACAGGGUGGUGCCAUUCAACUGGCAAAUAAUGGCACGGAUGGCGUGCAAGGCCUCCAGACACUUACAAUGACCAACGCUGCCGCAGCACAGACUGGAACUACAAUUUUACAGUAUGCACAAACGACAGACGGUCAACAGAUCCUUGUGCCCAGCAAUCAGGUGGUUGUGCAAGCGGCAUCAGGAGAUGUCCAAGCUUAUCAGAUACGUACUGCUCCCACCAGCACCAUUGCUCCUGGUGUUGUUAUGGCCUCUUCGCCCGCACUACCCACUCAACAGACUGCCGAAGAAGCAGCACGGAAAAGGGAAGUGCGCCUUAUGAAGAACAGGGAGGCAGCACGUGAAUGUCGCCGGAAGAAGAAAGAAUAUGUAAAAUGUCUGGAAAAUAGAGUGGCAGUACUGGAAAACCAGAACAAGACUCUGAUUGAGGAACUAAAAGCACUUAAAGACCUUUAUUGCCAUAAAUCUGAUUAACUACCAGGACAAUUUGCAGAUAUAUACUGUAUAUAGACUAGCCUGGCAUACAUGAACCGGGCAAAAGACGUGUUUUCUAAAUGUUGUUUUUUUAUGCUGCAGACUGCCUAUAUGAGAAAUAUUGGAUUAUUCGUACAUGUUACCUUUGGAUCAUGACAUAUAUGAGAUUUAAAAUAACAACCGCCAAAUCGACCCUUUUUUUAAGAACUCAUCUCAAAAUAGUGUUUCUUUUUCCUUCCACCUGAGAAUUUCCCUUCACAAGUGUGCAUCGUGUUGUUCAUAUGUAAAAGGACAAAUGACUUCUUGACUGAAUAGAACCUGCAAGUCUUGGGAAUUCUACUGCUACCUUUCACGGUUACCAAGUUGCCAUUGGAGUAAAAAGAAUUUUUUUUUUUUUUUUUUUUUUUUUUAUGGAGUCGGCGUACAAAAUUGGACAGCAGAGAAUUUUUUUGCCCUAGCACAAUUUGAGUUACAAACAAGCAGGCCAUUUAAAUUUACAUCCUGUGGACUGGCAUUCUGUGCAGAUGAUGUGAUUCUUUUCUACACCAGAGCCUACCAGCCUGGACUUCCACUGCAGCAUUCAUUCAUCCACUCACUGGAUGAGGCCGAUGACCAAGUCUGUCCUGUGCAGCUGCAGCGCAAAACAACAAUUGAUGGCCACUCCAUGUGGAACCGCAUUCUGCAGCCUAAACCUGAUGUCAACUGCUGGAAUUCCGAGCAAAGAGAAUGGCGACUGUCUGGCAGAAGUGAGUUGGCUUUCUUUCUAACCCGUUUCCAAUACAUGUCAGUGAUAGACGUCUGCUGUGAACCAAUAAUUCUACUGCAGGUUUUUAUAUCGUUGUUAAGAUGGUUUAUAUUCUUAUUGUUGAGGUUGCCAAACCAACAGAUAAAAUCAAAUGUAAUAAUGGAUUCAAUAAAGGACUUCUAAAAAGGUGUCAUCAUGGUUUUGUCCACUGUAAAACAGAUGAGUUUCCUAAGAAAGAAAAGUCGUGACUGCCCUUUUUUUUUUACAGAUUUGUGCCUUGUUAAGAUCAAAGUUUAGUUUGUUAUCAGUGAUUGUUCCCAGAUAUUUGUAUUCCUCUCCCAUCUUUACUGCCUUCCCUUUAAUUAAAGUUGAGACAGUGGAUGGUAGGGAGCACCUGAAAUCUAAAACCAUAUCUUUUGUCUUAGAAAUAUUAAGUUGUAAAUUAGAGUGAUCACACCAUUGUACAAAGCCAUUGCCAGUAGGUCCAUAUGGCCGUCUUCCUUAUCUCGUAGAAGACAUACACUGACAGAGUUGUCUGUAAAUUUCAGGAUGUGUCUAUCCUUGUGUGAACCCCUGCAGUCAUUUGUGUACUGGAUAAACGACAACCUUGCGGAGAGCCCACAGAUACAACUGUUAGGGUAUCAGAGGGACAGCCAUUGGCAUUCACUCUUUGUGUUCUGUUUGUUAAAAAGUCCACAAUCCACCCCACCAAGUUAAGGGUCCAAACUGAAUUGAUCCAACAUUUUCUCAACUAAAAUGGUGGGUCUGGAUUGUGUUAAAAGCUGAUGAAAAAAUCUACAAACCUCAAUCUUGCAUUGGUUUUUCCAAUUGGUCUUACAAUACAUUCAAGUGUUGCUGUGGCGUCCUGCACACCCCUCUUUGCUCGGUAUGGUCCAGAAGAACCUCAGUUUUGUCAAGUAGCUCUCCCUUAACUUCUCGUGGCAUGAAAUCCUUUGAAAAGUGAAUUAAUGUCUCUGCUCUAAAGUCACUUAAUGUAUUGGGGUGUGCAGUUUUUACCAUUGGAGUAACAGUUACCUGUUUGCAUUGGCUGGGCACUUGCUGUAAAUCGAGGGGCAUUUCAAGGGUGGAGUGGCCGACGGUGACGUAUUCCGUCUGGACCCAAGCUUCUUUUGAUAUUUCUUUGUUUAAGGACCUUACUCCUGUUUUAUUUGAAGACUUUGAAAAUGGGAGCUGCGCUACUGUAUAUAAAUAAAGUCAAAUGUAUUACUAUUUAGUCAAGUACUUGCCUUCCCAUGCAAUUGCCAUAGUUGUCCAGGCAUUUGGUCGACUUGACACUCCAAAGAAAUCGGUGUCAAGGAAGAUUCUGUACAUCACCAUCCUUUACAGCAGCGGGUCUCAAACUUUCGCAUUUCGCGCCCCCCCAUUUCUACCUGGAAUAAUUCUGUGCCCCCUGCAUAAUAUAAAAUAGAUGAGAAUAAC